RNAcentral lists this ribosomal RNA (378 nucleotides) under uncultured soil bacterium. Its description in RNAcentral is "bacterial SSU rRNA". It matches the Rfam family "Bacterial small subunit ribosomal RNA", at positions 26 to 395 of the family's 1533-position model. The record is from RNAcentral.
AGAGUGAACGCUGGCGGUAGGCCUAACACAUGCAAGUCGAACGGCAGCACGGUAAGAGCUUGCUCUUAUGGGUGGCGAGUGGCGGACGGGUGAGGAAUACAUCGGAAUCUACCUUUUGGUGGGGGAUAACGUAGGGAAACUUACGCUAAUACCGCAUACGCCCUUCGGGGGAAAGCCGGGGACCAGCAAUGGCCUGGCGCUGAUAGAUGAGCCGAUGUCGGAUUAGCUAGUUGGUGAGGUAAUGGCUCACCAAGGCGACGAUCCGUAGCUGGUCUGAGAGGAUGAUCAGCCACACUGGAACUGAGACACGGUCCAGACUCCUACGGGAGCAGCAGUGGGGAAUAGUUGGACAAGUGGGCGCAAGCCUGAUCCAGCCAU